This 254-nucleotide ribosomal RNA is filed under the name uncultured bacterium. Its description in RNAcentral is "partial 16S ribosomal RNA". It matches the Rfam family "Bacterial small subunit ribosomal RNA", at positions 524 to 777 of the family's 1533-position model. The record is from RNAcentral.
GACGUAGGGCGCGAGCGUUGUCCGGAUUUAUUGGGCGUAAAGAGCUCGUAGGCGGCUUGUCGCGUCGUCCGUGAAAACUUGGGGCUCAACCCCAAGCUUGCGGUCGAUACGGGCAGGCUAGAGUUCGGUAGGGGAGACUGGAAUUCCUGGUGUAGCGGUGAAAUGCGCAGAUAUCAGGAGGAACACCUGCGGCGAAGGCGGGUUGCUGGGCCGACACUGACGCUGAGGCGCGAAAGCCAGGGGAGCGAACGGGG